Molecule: ribosomal RNA, 534 nt
Filed under: Peziza fimeti
Lineage: Eukaryota; Fungi; Ascomycota; Pezizomycetes; Pezizales; Pezizaceae
Description: eukaryotic LSU rRNA
Rfam family: Eukaryotic large subunit ribosomal RNA
Source: RNAcentral
CAACAGGGAUUGCCUCAGUAACGGCGAGUGAAGCGGCAAAAGCUCAGAUUUGAAAUCUGGCGUCAUAUUGGCGUCCGAGUUGUAAUCUGUAGAGGAGUAUUCGAGUGUGGCGCUGGCUUAAGUUCCUUGGAACAGGACGUCAUAGAGGGUGAGAACCCCGUUAACGGCCUUUGUCUUAUGCUCAUGUGAAUCUCCUUCAACGAGUCGAGUUGUUUGGGAAUGCAGCUCUAAAUGGGUGGUAAAUUCCAUCUAAAGCUAAAUACUGGCAAGAGACCGAUAGCGCACAAGUAGAGUGAUCGAAAGAUGAAAAGAACUCUGAACAGAGAGUUAAAUAGUACGUGAAAUUGUUGAAAGGGAAGCACUUGCUACCAGACACGCCUGUAGUUGAUCAACCUUCAUUCUUGAUGGUGCACUCAGCUAUAGGUGGGUCAGCAUCAGUUACGGCGGUGGGAUAAAGACUUGGGGAAUGUGGCUUCUCUCGGGAAGUGUUAUAGCCCUUUGUGUAAUACCACCUGCUGUGACUGAGGACCGCGC